RNAcentral lists this long non-coding RNA (4310 nucleotides) under Setaria viridis. RNAcentral's name for it is "long non-coding RNA (SVIR_LNC000978)". The record is from RNAcentral. Lineage: Eukaryota; Viridiplantae; Streptophyta; Magnoliopsida; Poales; Poaceae.
AGGAUUUCCUUGUUCAGAUCAAUCUGCCUAAAGCCCAUUUCCUCCAGCUCCCUCAGCAGCUUCUCUUCAUUGUGACCAUCUAUGUCAAAAGGCUCAGGUGCUGCGGCGCUGGCUGCAGGUGGAGGCACAGGCACAGAAGCAGGGGCAGAUGCAGGUGCGGAUGCAGGGGCAGGCAUAGAAACAGGCACAGUUGUAGGCAGGAUAGGCACAUUAACAGGUGAAGGUCCAACCGGGGCAAGCAGCUCAGGUGCAGGUGCAGGUGCAGGUGCAGGCACACUAACAGAAGGCACAAAAGCAGCAGCAGUGGCACUGGACAUGGGAACAUCAACGACAAGGUUUGCAGGAGCUGCUGCAGGCAUAGAGGUAGCAACUACUAGAGCAGGCUGAGAUUUCUUGGGCUCUGGAACAUCACUCGGAUAGAAGUGGAACUCUUUAGUGCGUUUGGCAUGUGCACUAAGGGCUGGGUCAACAGGCUCAAUGUUCACAUCAAUUAGGCUAGUUGUGUUUGCACUACUGCCUUCUGGUGGCAGAUUCAGAUUAAUAGCAGUGUUCCUGUUAUUGUCAUUAACAAAGGAAGGAUCUUCCACCUACAGAUGCAGUUACAGUUCAAAAAUUCAGGUCAGAAAGAAAAUUACUAAGAGUAAACAUCUACAUUUUGGAAAACAAUGUUAAGGUAACAACCUGAAUAUGAACCCAAACUCGCUGACCAAAUUUCUGACCAGAAGGUGAUGCCAACCUCCAGUAAGAUAUGUACCUCCCAGGCCUUGUGGGUGCCACAAAAUCAACAGCAACAUCAAUCUCCUUAUCCACAGGAAACCCAUUGACUGGAAUCUGCACAAUACAAGAAAGCUCAUAACUGAGAACUUGUACAUUUCUAUAACAUGCAGCCUAAUUUGCAAUUCAAAGAAGCAAGCGGAAAUCUAAUCAGAGUAAAUAUAGCUACCUCUAAUGGAACAGAGGUCUGCAAUGCAAACUGAUCUCCACCGACCCAGAUAAGCUGUGUGCCCAAUGGCCACACGAUAGACCCAUUGUUAUGCAUGCGCCAAAUCUUAGUAAACGGGGUAGAAGGUGUCAUCAGUGUGCCAUCCAGGACAGUUACAUCCAAAAUGAAGCGACUUUCAAGUUUCUCCCGUUUCGACUUCAUCACAACCCGUGGGUGGUGCACCUUUCGAUACUUAAAGAAAACAGAUUUUCAAAUCAGUUAUUCUGCUAAGCAACUUAGUCAUACAAAAGAAUACUCCAUCCAAAAUGAGGCACUCACCGAAUGAGGAUCUCUCAGUAACCUGUGUGGUAAAAUAGGCUUGUCUAUUUUGGUGUACUCAACUUCAUUUCCCAUGCGCUGGAAACAGGAAUUGCACAAAUCGUAGUCUUCUUUCCUGUGGGACAAACAGGAAGAUGUCAGAUCUAACAGCAUCAAAUACAACCAAGAAUUAUUGAAGUAGAAAGUUAUUCGAGGCCUUACACGUUAGAUUUGAAACGUGGACCAACAAUUGGUUGUACUCCACAACCAUCACACUGAAUCCAUCUAUGGAGACUACGUGGUGCAGAGUUCUCCAUAUUGCCAGCAAGAUCUCCAUAUGGAUGCCCAGAAGACAAGAGACGGCCUGGAUAAGGAAAAUGUGGAGAAGGUCCAUAGCCUGGUGGUGCAUGAGACACUGCUGCAGGUGGUGCAUAGGGAACUUUAUACAUUGGAAUGCGCCAUCUGGAAUCACUAGUGACUUUUGUAUUAUUUUCAGAUUGCCACUGGUGUGGUUGGCUCCUUCGUGGACGGAACAAUUCAGAAACACAAGGAGGUGGAGGCGGAACAUGAAUGGGAACAGCAUGCAGGGAGGCAGGCUGAGUGGCAGAGGACGCAACAGAUUUGCCCUUACUUUGAGCAUCAAUCUUCCCUUUGCAAACAGGUUUGUCAACUGAAUUACUGGGGAACAGCAACUCCUCAACAGAUGGGUACAUUGAUGGUUGCUGACCUUGAGAAGCCUCAACACUAGGAGCAGCAACAGGAGCAUCCUUUAACACACUCCUAAGAUCCAAACAUGCCUUAGCUUUGGGCUUAGCUAUGGCAGGAACAGCAACAGGAGCAUCCUCUGCCACACGAGUAGAAGAGGUGGAUGACCCUUCAGCAUGUGCAUCAGAUGGUCCAUUGCCACCAUUGCUCGGUGCCAUCAUUUGCACAAAAGGUUUCAUCAGCUCAGCUAAUGGUGGUGGUGCCGCAUCAAGUACUUCAUGAGAGAGUUUUGCAAGGGCAUCAGGAAUUGGCUCUGGGAUAGACUUGAUAGCUUCACCUAUAGCUGAUUUUAUAUGUGCCAGACUUUCUUCCUGAGCAGGUUUCAAACCUUCGAUAGCUGACAUUAUCUGGGACAGUGGAUCCUGAGCAGUAGGCUUCACAGGUGUAGAAUUUCUCUCCUUUUGUUCAGUUGGUUGACUUUUCUUUAGCUGAACAGUAAUCCUCAGAGGGUUUAGUUUCUGACGCAGAGCUGCAUCACGCAGGUCAUCAUCAUCAUCUAGCAUGACAGCAUCACCAUCCUCAUCGGUGUAAGUCAGAAUGAAGUCAGCAUCAGGACCGAACUUAAAGGCAGUUGCUAUCUUUGCCCGCAGAGCAGAUAAAUUCAUGUCCAAAUGAGCUCCAUUGACACAACCAUAAAACCUCUUAAGAGUGUCACCGUAUUUGACCUGCAAUAUGUUAAAGAAAAUCAGAAAGUUACAGUAAGAUAAUACACUCAUAGUCAGCACUUACAGCUAGAAGAUCAAAUGAAAACAGUGAUAUAUGCGAGAACAAAAAUCAUAUAAAGUUGGGGACAUGAAGCUCUUUAAAAUUGACCUGUUGAAACCCUCUAGGAACAACAACAAAAAAUUGCCAGGUUUCAAAACAACAAAAAGGACAUUAGUUAAACAAUCUGGAUAAACAUGGUGGAAGUGUCAGAGGAGUACGGAAAGAAAGGACAACUCAACAAAGUUGAAAUGGUGGAACCAUAAAGUUAAAUCAAAGCAGUCUAAUGGAAGAAACAUAUUACACCUACUGCAGCCUCAAGAUGCACUUAGUCAAUGUGCAAGGCUAUUCAAUCUUAUCGUUUCGACCUAUUCCAGAAAACCUGCAUGACUGAACCCUCAAUUGCAAUGAUCAUCCUUUUUCUGUUAUCCAAUUCAAAAUCAUAAAUGGCAACUAAACUAAAGCAAGGGAGAGCAAGAAGCAGAAAUAGAACAAUUGGAAUCUAACUGUUGUUCUGCCUAAAAUGUUCUUAACAUCUAUUCUUAAUCCACGUUGAAUCCAAAAACUGGCAUAGAGAACUGUACAAAGAGAUGGCUCUCUAUACAUCAUAUUCUAAAAAAAUACAUCUAGUUUCAUCAGAAAAUAAACAAUCUCGAUCUGAACAGUAAUACAGAACAGCUAACAUGCCCAAUUCCCCCCCCCCCCAUUUUUCCUGCUAUUUUAAGAAUCCAAAAGUGGGAACUCGUUAAUAGCACUCUUUAAAGUUAGAUUCAGAUAUCACAAAAUACCAUGUAGGAGCAUAUUUGAUGAGCAGAUUACCCUAGACGCCACAGGCAAACAUAGGACCAUCUUCAGUCAUUAACUAUCAGGCACCGACAGAUGAAUCCCCAUCCGAAGGUGUUUGGUAAUAAGCACGCACAAAGAAAAUCAUGUCCGUGGUCUCACACCACCAUCGGCAAAUAUAGAAGAAUCUUUAUCUUUAAACCACACGAUGAAUAAACUAAGAGACUCCAUCGCCUACACAAAAUAUCUCCUCGUGGAAAAAGAGAAUCUACACCAACAAAACAAACCGCAAAACCCUAGUCACCACAGGACUGUGGAAACCCCCUGUUUCCGUCGAUCUAAUACCCAAUCCGACCAUACCCACGGCCGAUCCAUGAUUCAACACAGAAACCCCCAACCCACGGCCCUCCCCACAUCGAUCAAAUCAAAACCAUGAACAGAGGCGGAGGUUCCCCCACACGGCCACACCUCACACCACCACCGUGCCCCCUAAAUCGCACAGAACCCCAAGUACGAAACCACAGAUUUUUCGGCCGGGGUGCCUCACCUUGAAUGUGACGUCUCGCACUUCGGCCUGCGGGCCGAAGGGGAAGAACGUCGGCGCGGCCGGCGAGCUCCGGUCGGACAUCGUGUCGGGGGGGAAGCCCCGCCGGGGGGAGGACGAAGCGGCGAUCUGGCCGAACCCUAGCGGAGUCAGUCGUCGAUCGAUUCGGGACGAACCCUUGACGCAAUCGGAGAGGAGGGGGAGGGGCAGGGGAGGGGGGGGAGCGGGCUGCGUAGCCGUGAGCCGCAGCUGUGGUGGUGAGGGGAGAGUGUCGAU